AUGAACGCUGGCGGCGUGCUUAACACCUGCAAGUCGAACGAAGCACUUUAUUUGAUUUCCUUCGGGACUGAUUAUUUUGUGACUGAGUGGCGGACGGGUGAGUAACGCGUGGGUAACCUGCCUUGUACAGGGGGAUAACAGUUGGAAACGGCUGCUACUACCGCAUAAGCGCACGGCAUCGCAUGAUGCAGUGUGAAAAACUCCGGUGGUAUAAGAUGGACCCGCGUUGGAUUAGCUAGUUGGAGAGGUAACGGCCCACCAAGGCGACGAUCCAUAGCCGACCAGAGAGGGUGACCGGCCACAUUGGGACGGAGACACGGCCCAAACUCCUACGGGAGGCAGCAGUGGGGAAUAUUGCACAAUGGGCGAAAGCCUGAUGCAGCGACGCCGCGUGAGCGAAGAAGUAUUUCGGUAUGUAAAGCUCUAUCAGCAGGGAAGAUAAUGACGGUACCUGACUAAGAAGCACCGGCUAAAUACGUG
This 480-nucleotide ribosomal RNA is filed under the name uncultured bacterium. Its description in RNAcentral is "partial 16S ribosomal RNA". It matches the Rfam family "Bacterial small subunit ribosomal RNA", at positions 29 to 507 of the family's 1533-position model. The record is from RNAcentral.